Molecule: ribosomal RNA, 253 nt
Filed under: uncultured bacterium
Lineage: Bacteria
Description: partial 16S ribosomal RNA
Rfam family: Bacterial small subunit ribosomal RNA
Source: RNAcentral
UACGGAGGGGGUUAGCGUUGUUCGGAAUGACUGGGCGUAAAGCGCGCGUAGGCGGACCAGCAAGUCAGGGGUGAAAGCCCGGGGCUCAACCCCGGAACUGCCUUUGAGACUGCAUCGCUCGAAUCCGGGAGAGGUGAGUGGAAUUCCGAGUGUAGAGGUGAAAUUCGUAGAUAUUCGGAAGAACACCAGUGGCGAAGGCGGCUCACUGGACCGGUAUUGACGCUGAGGUGCGAAAGCGUGGGGAGCAAACAGG